CUUGCUCUAUUGCUAACUCAAAGAGUGAUCUCGCCUUUCCUCAAUCCUCUCACUUCUUCAAGACCCUGCAUAGAAAUGCACAAAUAAGCACUUGAUCCAGAAUCUAAAAUCCAACUAGAAGAAGAUGAAACCGUUAGAUUAGUUUCAAUAAUGAGUAUAUCAGAUGUACCUUCAGAAGGCCCAUCCUUCUCCUGCACUUGACAGUCGCCAGGU
Molecule: long non-coding RNA, 213 nt
Filed under: Elaeis guineensis (African oil palm)
Lineage: Eukaryota; Viridiplantae; Streptophyta; Magnoliopsida; Arecales; Arecaceae
Description: long non-coding RNA (EGUI_LNC079634)
Source: RNAcentral